RNAcentral lists this ribosomal RNA (253 nucleotides) under uncultured bacterium. RNAcentral describes it as "partial 16S ribosomal RNA". It matches the Rfam family "Bacterial small subunit ribosomal RNA", at positions 524 to 776 of the family's 1533-position model. The record is from RNAcentral.
UACGUAGGGUGCAAGCGUUGUCCGGAAUUAUUGGGCGUAAAGAGCUCGUCGGCGGUCUGUCGCGUCGGCUGUGAAAUCCCGAGGCUCAACCUCGGGUCUGCAGUCGAUACGGGCAAACUAGAGUAUUGCAGGGGAGACUGGAAUUCCUGGUGUAGCGGUGAAAUGCGCAGAUAUCAGGAGGAACACCGGUGGCGAAGGCGGGUCUCUGGGCAAUAACUGACGCUGAGGAGCGAAAGCGUGGGGAGCGAACAGG